AUUAGUGGUGGAGAAGGCCUAUGAGAUGCCACCUGGAAUAGUGGGACCCUAAACUAUUCUUAUUUCUAUAUAUUAUGGAUUAUGGAUAUGGAUAUGGAUGCUUUUUCUCUCUCCCACUAUCUGCAAAUGCCAAUGCUUCUCUCUCCUCGGUACCCAAUCAACCGCCCACCUCUCCCGCUCACUUCAAAUCUUUCCCCAACAAACACUUUUCGAUUCACACACAAUGUUCAACAAAUGCUACUUUUCAAAUUUUGAAUUUGAAAGAACUUCAAUUUUCUAAUUCAUCUCAUCCUCUUAAAUUUCAUUUUUUCACGUCUUUUUCUUCAAGUUUCCUUCUCUGCUUCCCUUAUUUUUCGUUUUCCAAUGCAAUCCUCUCUCUUCACAAACCAUAAUUCCAUCAUUUAUGGUUCUCAAUUUCCAAUUCAAAUUUAAUUUUUCUAUCACGCACCCACUAAGCCAUGGAACUCAAAUUACAGCCUGAACCACACUUGCGACCACCUCGACUUCACGACUUCAUAGUCUCAUCUUCUCCACGAUUUCCUCCCUCUCGCGUCUCCUUCUCCGACUACCUCCUCCGCUCCCAGCCUGAACCACACUUGGAAUUCUCUUUCUGGAAAACUCCUCCCACUUGCACCUGGCCUCCACUCCCUCUGGCAAAGGUUCGGUAAGGACACAGUUUGGCUGGGUUUACUGUAUUUUCUCUUCAAGGCUCUUGGAAACCUUUCAAUGGAGUCAUUGAAAAGAGGAAUGGUUACUCCAUAGAUCAGUUUAAGAAUGAGGUAAGUGUUGGUACUACUUUUCUGUAUUAUAAAUAUGAAUCCAGUUUCAAUUUUGUGUAGAAAAGUUUUGGAACACGUUUGUUUCUCAAAUCCUCUCUGUUAGAAGCAUCUAGAUUUUUUAAUUUUGUUUUUUCUACAAUUUAUUGGCUGGUCCUGUUGAAACCUGUGUUAACAAGCUCUUCUUUGGCGUUGACAGGUCAUAGAGUUCAGCUACUGCUCAGUUUAUUUAAGCUGGAUUCAUUGAUUGCAAUAUUACAUGUUUCCUUUCAGAUUUUUUAUUCUUUUAGUUGCAGUGAAGAAAUCGGCAGAUUUUCCUGGAUUUUAUUAGAGUUCUUUUGUAAUGGAUUACUUUGUUCCUCACUUCAUUGGCUUACUAUGUAUUGUUGCAGGUAUAGUGUUAUGUUAAAGCAUUUUCAAAACCAGGAUCCAUCUAUUAAUGGUUGGUGAAGCAAAGUGGAAUACUCUUGACCGAUUAUUUUUGUUCAUUGAGCAACAUAAUGAAGAAUUUCAAUAGAAGUUCUAGGAGAGUUUUCAAGGUGAUGUGGAAAUCAUUUAAGGAGGUGAGAAGUUUUACUCUUCCAAGUUAGUUGAAGCUUUUAUGAUAACUUUUAUGUAGCUGAUACACUUCGAUCCUCAUGGACCACAUGCAUUUCUGAGAAGUCCCAUGAAGACAUUUAUGAGUUGGUUCACAAGGAGUUUAACUCUUUGUUUAUUGCUUUAGUGGCAGAUACUGUAUAUCUUUGUCCAAUUGUCCCUUCAAUUUUAUGUAUUGCAGUUAAAGAGUCUGUUCGAAAACACUUGGAUUUCACAUUGCGUCAUUAUGUUCGUUACAUUCUCUCUUAAAGGAAUUCCUUAAAUUAAAUAAACCUUCUAUAAGGAGUUAAAAUAGGACCUAAAUAUGUUUUAUUGAUCCAAAUUUUACUUCUGAUAUCAACUAUAUUUACAGUUUCAAAAACUUACAAUUACUCUUUCUCUAAUACUAAUUUUUUGUCUUACUGAAGCUAACUGUAUAUUAAUUUUUUGCAGCUCAAUGGCAGAUAGGGUGUCAUUGAAUGAAGCAAGCUCUAGCUAUCAUCAGACUAUUAAAAGUGUUCUGUCAUGCUAUAAUGUUCUAUUUGGCCAAAUGUGCCAAAUACAUGCAUAUCCAUUUGACCAAUACGGUAUUAUCUUGAGUCAUGCCAUAGUAAAGACAAAACCAGGAAGCUCAACAGAAUGGAAGCUUAAAAGUUGGAUGCUCUAUGUACUGUGGAAAUGGGAAAGAUGUUGAGAGCCCAUGUUCUAAUCCUGAUCAUGUUGUGGUGAUUUUUUCUGCUUGGCAUGUAGUUUGCGUCUUGCUAGCAAGCCCUUCUAAGAUAGUCUUCAAGAAAUUACAUUCUUUUGUUCUUUUAUGUAUAGUACAAUGGCAUAUGAUGCUAAUGUAUUCUAUUAACUACAAGUUUUUGUUGUUGACAACUGCAAGUGGCUGUUGAAGGGUGAAAAUUUCCAGUUGCUUUUAGAGGAAUUGUUGCAAAUGAAGUGUUAUAGGGGCUGAUUGAGUGAUAUUUAGUUAUGAUAAAAUUAAUAUGUCU
Long non-coding RNA from Lotus japonicus, 2347 nucleotides. RefSeq lists it as uncharacterized. The record is from RefSeq and is a predicted model, not a curated record. NCBI's taxonomy places the organism in Eukaryota, Viridiplantae, Streptophyta, Magnoliopsida, Fabales, Fabaceae. The transcript has 5 exons.